GCAGCAACGCCGCGUGGGUGAUGAAGGCCUUCGGGUCGUAAAGCCCUGUCGGGAGGGAAGAAAUGAUUGAGAGCUAAUACCUCUUGGUCUUGACGGUACCUCCGAAGGAAGCACCGGCUAACUCCGUGCCAGCAGCCGCGGUAACACGUAGGUGGCAAGCGUUGUCCGGAUUUACUGGGUGUAAAGGGCGUGCAGCCGGGGAGGCAAGUCAGAUGUGAAAUCCGUGGGCUUAACCCACGAACUGCAUUUGAAACUGCUUUUCUUGAGUAUAGGGGAGGUAAUCGGAAUUCCUAGUGUAGCGGUGAAAUACGUAGAUAUUAGGAAGAACACCAGUGGCGAAGGCGGAUUACUGGACGACAACUGACGGUGAGGCGCGAAAGCGUGGGGAGCAAA
Molecule: ribosomal RNA, 393 nt
Filed under: uncultured bacterium
Lineage: Bacteria
Description: bacterial SSU rRNA
Rfam family: Bacterial small subunit ribosomal RNA
Source: RNAcentral